AAGGUCCAACCUCACAUGUCCUGUAUGUAAUAAAGGGGAUGUAUGUGGUCAGACCUAUC
This 59-nucleotide microRNA precursor is filed under the name Chrysemys picta bellii (western painted turtle). RNAcentral describes it as "Cpi-Mir-2188_pre stem-loop". Lineage: Eukaryota; Metazoa; Chordata; Testudines; Emydidae. The record is from RNAcentral.